RNAcentral lists this ribosomal RNA (719 nucleotides) under Alphaproteobacteria bacterium. RNAcentral describes it as "bacterial SSU rRNA". It matches the Rfam family "Bacterial small subunit ribosomal RNA", at positions 25 to 741 of the family's 1533-position model. Lineage: Bacteria; Pseudomonadati; Pseudomonadota; Alphaproteobacteria. The record is from RNAcentral.
CAGAUUGAACGCUGGCGGCAGGCHUAACACAUGCAAGUCGAGCGCGAAAGUUCUUCGGGACGAGUAGAGCGGCGGACGGGUGAGUAACGCGUGGGAAAUUGCCCAGUAGUGGGGGACAACAUUCGGAAACGGAUGCUAAUACCGCAUACGCCCCUACGGGGGAAAGCGGGGGAUCUUCGGACCUCGUGCUAUUGGAUAUGCCCGCGUCGGAUUAGCUGGUUGGUGAGGUAAAGGCUCACCAAGGCAACGAUCCGUAGCUGGUCUGAGAGGAUGAUCAGCCACACUGGGACUGAGACACGGCCCAGACUCCUACGGGAGGCAGCAGUGGGGAAUAUUGGACAAUGGGCGCAAGCCUGAUCCAGCCAUGCCGCGUGUGUGAAGAAGGCCCUAGGGUUGUAAAGCACUUUCAGUGGGGAGGAAGGCCUUAAUGUUAAUAGCAUUGAGGAUUGACGUUACCUACAGAAGAAGCACCGGCUAACUCCGUGCCAGCAGCCGCGGUAAUACGGAGGGUGCGAGCGUUAAUCGGAAUUACUGGGCGUAAAGCGCGCGUAGGCGGUUAGUUAAGCUGGAUGUGAAAGCCCCGGGCUCAACCUGGGAACUGCAUUCAGAACUGGCAGGCUAGAGUACGAGAGAGGGUAGUGGAAUUUCCUGUGUAGCGGUGAAAUGCGUAGAUAUAGGAAGGAACAUCAGUGGCGAAGGCGGCUKCCUGGCUCGAWACU